Non-coding RNA from Dipodomys ordii (Ord's kangaroo rat), 65 nucleotides. NCBI's taxonomy places the organism in Eukaryota, Metazoa, Chordata, Mammalia, Rodentia, Heteromyidae. The record is from Rfam.
GGUGGCUCAGUGGUAGAGCGCUUGCCUUGCAUGUCAGAGGCCCUGAGUUUGAUUCCUCAGCACCA